This 86-nucleotide transfer RNA is filed under the name Pseudomonadota bacterium. RNAcentral describes it as "tRNA-Tyr". It matches the Rfam family "tRNA". Rfam says of the family: Transfer RNA (tRNA) molecules are approximately 80 nucleotides in length. Their secondary structure includes four short double-helical elements and three loops (D, anti-codon, and T loops). RNAcentral also lists the same sequence under 7 other names. Lineage: Bacteria; Pseudomonadati; Pseudomonadota. The record is from RNAcentral.
GGGUAGGUACCGAAGUGGCCAAACGGGGCGGACUGUAAAUCCGCUGGCUUACGCCUUCAGUGGUUCGAAUCCACUCCUGCCCACCA